This 400-nucleotide ribosomal RNA is filed under the name uncultured bacterium. RNAcentral's name for it is "bacterial SSU rRNA". It matches the Rfam family "Bacterial small subunit ribosomal RNA", at positions 28 to 425 of the family's 1533-position model. The record is from RNAcentral.
GACGAACGCUGGCGGCGUGCCUAACACAUGCAAGUCGAACGGGGAUAUUGAUUUCGGUUGAUAUCCUAGUGGCGAACGGGUGAGUAACGCGUGAACAACCUGCCUUUCAGAGGGGGAUAACACCUGGAAACAAGUGCUAAUACCGCAUAAGACCACGACCCGGCAUCGGGAUGAGGUCAAAGGAGCAAUCCGCUGAAAGAGGGGUUCGCGUCCCAUUAGAUAGUUGGCGGGGUAACGGCCCACCAAGUCCGCGAUGGGUAGCCGAGCUGAGAGGCUGAUCGGCCACACUGGAACUGAGACACGGUCCAGACUCCUACGGGAGGCAGCAGUGGGGAAUAUUGGGCAAUGGGCGCAAGCCUGACCCAGCAACGCCGCGUGAGGGAAGAAGGCUUUCGGGUUG